Panthera uncia (snow leopard) is the source of this 273-nucleotide long non-coding RNA. RefSeq lists it as uncharacterized. The transcript has 2 exons. The record is from RefSeq and is a predicted model, not a curated record. Lineage: Eukaryota; Metazoa; Chordata; Mammalia; Carnivora; Felidae.
ACUUCCUCCGCGCCGGGCCGCUGCUCCACAAAGGCGCCGCGCUGCCGCUUUCAGCGCUCGGCCCGCCGGGAGAUGGAGUACAGCUGCAGGCAUCUUGUCCGGAAGUCAUUCUUUCAUUCAAGAACUGUAUGAAGGGCCUGUGUGGGAUAGGCACUGCAUCGGGUGCUGGUGAUCCAGGAACAAACAAAGCUGAUAAAAUUUGCUGCCCAAAUGGAGAUGGGUGUGGGGUAAUUAUUGGAGAUGGACAACAAAUUAAACAAGAUAUGCACUCUU